Molecule: ribosomal RNA, 561 nt
Filed under: uncultured fungus
Lineage: Eukaryota; Fungi
Description: eukaryotic LSU rRNA
Rfam family: 5.8S ribosomal RNA (bases 146-302)
Source: RNAcentral
CACUCCUUUACAAACCCUAAUCUCCACUCAUCUGUGCACCUCCGUAGACUCGAGGAUGGUGUGGACAACUGUCUAUGCCUUCCUUGUCUAUGUUUUCAAUACACACGUCUUUUUAUCUUUGAAUGCGUCAUGUAUAAUGAAAUACAACUUUCAACAACGGAUCUCUUGGUUCUCGCAUCGAUGAAGAACGCAGCGAAUUGCGAUAUGUAAUGUGAAUUGCAGAAUUCAGUGAAUCAUCGAAUCUUUGAACGCACAUUGCACCCUUCUGGUUUUUUCCGAAGGGUAUGCCUGUUUGAGUGUCAUGAAUCUAUCAACGUAGUCAAGCUUUGCCUUGCUAUGAUUGCAUGAAUGAAGGUUGCUGGAAAUCUUGUCAGCUCCUUUUAAAUCGAUUAGCGGAAAAUGCUUUCAGCUCUGGUUUGAUAAAUUUUUCUAUGCCUUUGCUGAUGCUAUCAUCUUUCGCUUCUAAUUGUCCGUUUGGACUGUCUUCCAAAGACACGUCUUGAUUUUGACCUCAAAUCAGGUAGGACUACCCGCUGAACUUAAGCAUAUCAAUAAGCGGAG